Molecule: long non-coding RNA, 1085 nt
Organism: Bos taurus (domestic cattle)
Lineage: Eukaryota; Metazoa; Chordata; Mammalia; Artiodactyla; Bovidae
Source: Ensembl
ACCUUGAGCUCUGCGCUCGUGAAACUCCGGGGAGUUUCGCGGAAACCGUAGCAUUCCGUUGUCCGCGCUUCCCUCUUUCGCCUUCCUUGAUUCCCUACUCUCGGGUCUCCCGCCCCAAAGGGCUCCCAGCUCUCGGCCUCGGAUGAAAAUAAACUCCGUGACGCGGGCGGGGACCGUCGCUGCGACCCCAGCCACGGCACGCCCCGCUCGGGCGGACGCGGAAAGCGGCGGGGCUCCUGCGGGCCGGGUGGUGCCCCAGUGGGCGAGGCCUGCCUCCUGGCGGCGGCGCGGCGCGGAGCCAGUCCCGAGCCGGAGCUCGGGAAGCCGCGGGCGUUUUGUGCGUGCGGCCGGUGGGCUCCGGGGCUUCCCUCCACCUGGGCUUCGCGCGGCAAGGCUUUUUCUUCCCCGAGGCCCCCACGUCGCCUUCUCUGGGGCAACUGGGCGUGCGCGGAGUCAUUUCCCUGGACUGUGUGUUUCGGCUAUUUUCCCUCGGCGGUUUGGGUACUCCACGAGCCCUCCCGGAGUUACGCGGGAUGCCACGCCGCAGGGCAGAGGAGGCGGCAGGACCCUCGGCAGGCACCGCCUCAGUUCUUUGCCCCUGGGCCCGGGACCUCGAGCUCAUAACGUCCAGGGGCUUCCUUCGCAAGGACUGGCACUGACUUGGGGGCGUAAACUCGCAGGCGGGAACCUCCACUACUCGCUUUAGGCCCUGGCACAUCCCAGGAGUUUACCCGGGAACGUGAAUGUGAGCGCGGUUCCAAACUCCGGUACUGUCGGGGCCUUGUCCCGCCUCCAAGUCAUUCGACUUACCUGCGUUGAGAUACUAAUUUGUGCCUGGCACUCCGGUUUUUGGAGAGAGUAACAAAAAACGGCGAGUUUCUGGGUGACUCACGGAAACCAGUACAGGGGACGUGGGUUCGAUCCCUGAUCCGAGAAGAUUCCACAUGUCACGGGGCAGCUAAGCCUGUGUACCCUAGAGCCUGUGCUCCACAGCAAGAGAAGCCGCCACGAUAACCAGCCCGCUCACCGAACUGAAGACUAGCCCCUGCUCGCUGCAACUAGAGAAACCCCGCACGCAGCAAGGA